This 1222-nucleotide long non-coding RNA is filed under the name Zostera marina. RNAcentral's name for it is "long non-coding RNA (ZMAR_LNC000282)". The record is from RNAcentral. Lineage: Eukaryota; Viridiplantae; Streptophyta; Magnoliopsida; Alismatales; Zosteraceae.
GGCAUGACGCUUUGGCCCACCGACUAUAAAGAAAUCAUCAUGUUCAAAAAUCCUCGGGGACACCUAGGGUAGACGACGUGACGCUUUGGAGUUUGGUCACCGACUAUAAAGAAAUUAUCGACGAGACGCUAUUAGCCCGUCGUUAGGAUAUAAAACCGACAACGUAUGGGUCGGCGUCCCGAGCGGAAGGAAUAAGACCCAUUCACCCACACCAUCCAGGCCUAAGACCCCAUCAUAAGCUCUGGAAGCUGGAGCAUUAUCGUGUUUGUAAGAUCAUACCAUACGGCUCGAGAGGGGGGGUAUGAUUGUAAGACCUGACCGGCCAACUUCCGUAAAGAGCCCGAAGGGACGGGAAAGGCGUGACGUUUCUGCUCCCCUGCACCAUAAAAACUCAGUCAAAACUCGCGUAACUGACGUGACGCUUUGGUCUACCGACUAUAAAGAAAUCACAAGAACAUUACCACCACCUACAGAGGUAGCGGGGGGAGGAUCGGUAGUCACAGUCAAAUCCAACCUCAUCUCUCCUGGUCGCUCUGGGGAGAGGACUAAUGGUACUUGAGUUAUUUCAAACACAUGUGGAGAAAGUUCUACCCCGAUCGAGGGCGAAAACUGAUGAUACCAGGUCCGGUACAGAGAGUACAUGUCCUAAGGCAUUUAUCACGAACGUAUAAGGACCCGAAAGGUUAAGGGAAGAUAAACCAAAAUUUAGAUCGAUCGACCAGAAUUCCGGUCGUUCGACUUAAAAAUGAUCGAUCCACCCAGUCGAAAGGGGAUCGACCACUUCUAGGUUUGACGUAAUGAAAAAACCUUUUUCCCUUCAGAAAAUCUAUAAAUAGGAAUGGAGAUUGAUCAUUUCAUUCAGAAUACCAAACGAUCGACCUCUUUCAGAGAAAAAGUAUUGUAGUGUGUGACUGAAGAUCCAGAGCGUUCAGUCGAUCAACUGGAAGGGGUCCUGCAUAUGAUCGACUGGUUGACAAUCGAUUGACCAGCGAUCGACCAAGUCUGACACUGAUGAUAAAACCACCGUCAUCAAAAUAGAAGGAAGAUCCACUGCAAGGAAGUUAAUAUGAGGAUUGCUUAAGUGGAAAAAGAACAUGCUAAGAAUGGGUACUAGAAUGUAGAAACUGAAGACAAAUUUAAUUCCCUAGAAGCAAAACUCCGAUAUUAUAAGGUUGAAUUUGCCCAUCUACUGAAAACCAGAGCCUUACUUGGAGGUUCAACA